Neofelis nebulosa (Clouded leopard) is the source of this 17389-nucleotide long non-coding RNA. RefSeq lists it as uncharacterized. Lineage: Eukaryota; Metazoa; Chordata; Mammalia; Carnivora; Felidae. The transcript is spliced from 2 exons. The record is from RefSeq and is a predicted model, not a curated record.
UGGCUGUCACUAGUCCAACUGACUGCCCAUGAAGACAACCAAUCUUCAGAAUGGCCAGUGUUGAUAUGUCAUGUUGACCUCUUGUAAUCUUUCUCUGUAUAUUAGCCACGUGCAAGAUGGACUGGGAUGGAAAGAGAAAAUGGGCCCUUUGGGGUAAUACAGAUGGAAGAGAUGGGGUUUGGUGGCUAGGAUCAUAUCCAAUGCACCCAAAUUAAAGGAUGGGAUCAUAUCCAAUGUACCCCAAUAUCCCUGUUCCCUUCAGCGCAUCAUACAAAUAAGCUUACAUAAGAUCAAAACUCGAAUCUCACCGGCUACAACCUACCCACCCCUACUUUCUCACCUGAGAAGCUACUUGUAGUCCUCACCUCCACCCCAGUCAUUUAUGAGCCCAAAGAAGGGUCUUAUGUGCUUCUCUUGCAUCAGUAGGAGCCAUGUUCAGUAUCUGCUGCUGCCACUCGGAGCUACACUCUGGAACCCCCGCCCGCCACACAUCCAUGGCUGUGGGUCCCAAGGUAAUUCCAGGUUUACUGUACCAUCUCUUUCCCUUUCCGCAUGGCUCUUCCCUUCCCCAGGUCACACACAGCAUGAGAACUGGCUCAGGAUGCCUCCAGGGACCAGUGGUCAUCUUGGCAAUGCUACCUGUCUCCUGUCCUAUUGCUGAAUCACUCUGUUUAUACCAGACUCUAAAUUUCUUCGUUAAGACUGUCUCCUCAGCAAUUCCAGUUUGUCCCGACAACUUGGUUUCCAUCAGACUCUUCUACCAUUCUGAAUAACUGAACAUAAGUUAGGGAUGUAGUUCAAACUGCUACCCACCUGAUCCACGCAGGAGGCCUCUUAACCUCCAGGUGAAACCUUUACGCUCACCUGUUUCCUCCUGGCAGGUGGAUUCAGGUCUCAGCUACACAAGAGAUGCUGAAGUUACAACAAAUUAAUCACUGAAGACAGAAGUGAACAAUAGACAACAGGCAAAGACGAUUGUAGUCAGUGUCCCUAAGGCUGAAUGAGAUUUAUCUGUUGUCUGCACUGAAUAUAUAGUUGGGUAGUAUCCUGUGCUUGCAAAAUACAUUUGAAAAUCUGACUUAAUCAGGGACCACUGAUCUAAGCAAUAUGAUUUCCCUCUCAUUUACAGUGUGCUUAUGUCUUCUAUAGUUACAAUAUUAUCUAUCUGGAAUUUUCUUUGCUCGUUUCAAUUAAAAAUAGAAAUAUUUCAAAUAGGUAGUCACUUUAUUAUAGAUUGAAAGAGAAAGAAAGAAAGAAAGAAAGAAAGAAAGAAAGAAAGAAAGAAAAGAAAAUAGAGAAAAGGAAGGGGGAAGGAAGGAAAAGGAGAAGAAAAAAAGGAAAGAAACAGGGGGCAGAGAGAGAAGUAAAGGAAAGGAGGAAGGAAAAAAGAAAGGAAGGAAGGGAGGGAGAAAGGAAGUCUUCUUUUAGAUUUCUAGUUCUCAACCUGAGGUGCACAUUUUUUAAAAUGCCCUGUUCCUCAUCCUGGACCAAGUAACUCAGAAUCUCUUCAUGUUGGGCCUGGGCAUCUUCUCUCUCUCUCUCUCUCUGAUGUGUGUGUGUAUAUACACACACACAUACAUAUAUAAAUAUAAAUAUACAUAUACACAUACAAUACACAUAAACAUACACAUACACAUACGUGUACAUAUACAUAUACAUGUACAUAUACAUAUAUUUUAAAGCUCCCUCAUGAAUUUUACUUUGCGUUGCGUUGCGUUCACAGUUGAGAACUGCUGUUCUACGGGAAGUACCAGGAGAGGGAAGUUCACACACUUGCUCCAUCUUUGGAUGGAGGCAUUGCCUCCAUCUUUGAAAAGUCAAGCUUUAUUAUGUAAUAUUGAGAGAGUCAACCCAGGCCAAUUAUUAUAGUAGAGGGAGUCAUUGAGGAAAAAGUAUCUUCUUUCCACUGGCUGUGCAAAGUUUCUUGUAAAAAAAAAAAAGCUCAUGAACCUAAGAAUAAAAUGUUUCCUAAGUGAAGUGAUAUAUGCAUUAUUAUAUAAUUAGAUAUAUUCUAUAUAUAUAUAAAAUAAUUUAUAUGUAACGUAAAUUAUACUUAUAGAUUAUAUAACUAGAUAUAUAUGUUAUAUGUCAGAUAAUUAAUAAGUAACACUUUUGUUGACAUUUAACUACAUCAAGAAGAAAACUUGUUGGACCAGAAAUGUCAGUGGGUGAGAAGUUUAAAAAAAACAAACCGAUUUGAUCAGGGUUUUUUUUUUCCCAUAAAACUGCAUCUUUUCUAUGAGAGAUUUUUCCAUUUAUUUGGCCCUGUUUAUAAGCAUGUUUGAUUCCGUCAUCACCCUCAGGCCAACAAAGCAGGAAAAAAAUGUUAAAAUUCUGUACAGAGGUCAAUAAGACCUUAAAUCAGCAACUUGAAACCACAAGCUUGCAAAAUAUGGCAUUUGAAGUUGUUCUUUGGGAAUGUAUAAGUAAUGUGGGCCUGAAAUGAAAACUAAAACAAGAUAGGUAGUUAUGGAUGUGCAUUUUCAUGUCUCUGUUCCAACAUUCAUACUAACAUGAAAUACCAUAUUCAAAGAAUUCAGUAGGCCCCAAUAAAUAAUCAUUUCCUCUCCUUUGGAUUAUCAUAAAGUAUCUGUGAGGGAAUUUUAGAUUCUAAAUUCUGUUUACCAAUGACAGAUUUAAAAAGACGAUUUAAAAACAAAAUACAGGAUGGGGUGCCUGGGUGGCUCAGUGGGUUAGGCAACCGACUUCGGCUCAGGUCGUGAUCUCACAAUUUGUGGGUUCGAGCCCUGUGUCGGGCUCUGUGCUGACAGCUCAGAGCCUGGAUCCUGCUUCAGAUUUUGUGUCUCCCCCUCUCUUUACCCCUCCCCUGCUCAUGUUCUGUGUCUCUCUGUCUCUCAAUAAUGAAUAAACGUUAAAAAAAAAUUAAAAACAAAAUACAGGAGCACCCAGCUGGCUCAGAUGGUUAAGUGUUUCACUCUUGAUUUUGGCUUAGGUCAUGAUCUCUUGGUUUAUGAGAUCCAGCCUCACUUUGGGCUCUGCACUGGGCGUGGAGCCUGCUUGGGACUCUCUCUCUCUCUCUCUCUCUCUCUCUCUCUCUUCACACCCCCCCCACCCCUCUUCCCUGCUCAUGCACGCUGUCUCUCAAAAUAAAUAAUAAAUAAACAUAAAAAAAUAAAAAUAAAAUCCAAAUGGGAUACAAUUUGCAAGAGAGAUGUUUCAUUUGUUGGAUCCUGACCUAUUUGCAUAGAGUAGAGGGAUCAUGUGACAACUUGGGUUUUUGCAGGAUUAUUGCUGACAUAAUAGUCUUGCUUUCUGAAAUAGAAACAUUACUGUUGUAGGGCUGUGCUGUUGGCUGCAAGAAACACAUUUGCUUCAAUAGAAAUGGCCCCUUGUUCUUCCUUUAAAUGCGUGUUCUGUUGUAUGGAAGAAGGCAUUUUGUAAGACAGUCCGUGUCUUGAAGGGUUGUUUUUAAAAUAGUGCCAGGCUAUGCUGGACAGAUGAGCAUUGAUACCAAAGAUGUUAUGGCCAGAGAAAAAUGUAUGCAAAUGUCAGCUUACCAGAAGAAGAAAGAGUUCUGAAGGACAAGGCUAGUAAGCCUGUUUAGGAAGGCAAGUUAGUUUGUGGUAUGCCUCAAGGAACUCCAAGAAGUCUGGCCAUGUGUUCUGUCAUGUCUCUUCCCCACUCACAGACCUCUACUGGUUUCCCAUCUCACUAGGGGUAAAUGCCAAAAUCCUCCCAAGGCACUACAAGAUCCGACUAGAAGCAUGCACACCACCCACCUCCUUCCACCCUAGCUUCCAUCCCUGUCCCUGUUUCUUUAGCCUGCAGCCACACCUGCCUUUCCGAGGUGCACCAAGUUCAUGCCCAUCUCAGAGUCUGUUCUUUUGAUGACCUCUACACCUCUCUGUGUUCCUUACCAGGUUUGUUUUUCUCUACAGUUCUUAUCGCCUUUGGACACACUGUUCCCUUACUUGUGUUUUGUUUGUAUCUGUCUACCGUCACCAUGAAAACAGAGGCUUUUUCAGUUUUGCUCACUGUCGUCUUGGCUGGCUGAAUUGCCAGCACCUCGGAUAGGGUCUGGCACUUAAUAAAUGCUCAGUCAAUAUUUUUGGAAUGAAUGUAGGGUUUUCAUCCUACUUUUUAUCUAAUAUAAUCCAUUCUUAGAGGUCUGGUCCCAGUGAUUCUGUGGAAUCAGGUCUCACUUUAGGUCAACUCUUACUCAAGGAAACCUCAUUAGAUCCAUUGCCAAUAAAUAAUCUGUAGAAAGUCUAAAGAUAGGUGGUUCAGGGCUAAGUAUUACAUGUCUAGUCCAGUCCAUCUAUAACAUUGUAUUCUCCCUGAUCCCCUUCUCCUUCCUUUCUCUUCCCUUCCCUUCCCUUCCCCAGGAGCCAUAGUGUAGCUGCAGUUACUAAGUGACUUUGAAGCAGGGACAGGGAACCCUUUGAAGCUGAAGACCUUGAUCCUCUCCUCCUUCAGGAGGUGCUGUCUUUCCCUUGAUGAAGACAGGGCUCUGCCUUGUACCCUCAGAAUGGCAGUGCAUGUGGUCCCAGUGAGUCAUUCACAUGAUGACACUGUUUACACAUUUGUUGUCACCAUUAGUGAGAGGAUCCCGCAGCAUCGUGUCCCAUCUGCAAGGUUCAGGCAGUGCUAGAAGAGCUAGAAGAGAUGUCUCCUGCUCCCUUUGAGGUUGAUUUCUGAAGAACCGCUGGUUUUGUUUAAAAUAUUUUUUAAAUGUUUUUAUUUGCUUUUGAGACAGAGAGAGACAGAGCAUGAGCAGGGGAGGGGCAGAGAGAGAGGGAGACACAGAAUCUGAAGCAGGCUCCAGGCUCUGAGCUGUCAGCACAGAGCCCGAUGCGGGGCUUGAACCCAUGGAGUGUGAGAUCAUGCCCUGAGCUGAAGUCAGACGCUCAGCCGACUGAGCCACCCAGGCACCCCAGGUUUUGUUAAUUAAAUUACACAGCUCCCUGGGAGGAGUACUAGCUGAUUACUAGUUGGUGACCCUUGCCUUUGAAGGAGUUUUCAAUCUUCUGGAAAAGGUUGGGGAGGGAAAGGGGAGCAGGCCUAGGAGGCUGGGUGGGUCAAAGACCAACCUAACCAAUUUCUUUUCUUCUUCUUCUUCUUCUUCUUCUUCUUCUUCUUCUUCUUCUUCCUUUUGAGAGAGAGAGAGAGGGAGUGAAAGUGCACAUGCAUGUGAGCAGGGGAAAGGGAGAGAAUCCCAAGCAGGCCCCAUGCCCAAUGCAGAGCCUGAUGAGGGGCUUGAUUUCACGACUGUGAGAUCAUUCCUGAGCGGAAAUCAAGAGUUCGACAACUGAGCCACCCAGGUGCCCCAGCCUAACCAAUUUCUGUUGUUCCUUGGACCAACCACCAGAGCAGGUAGAGUGCCAGGAGGCCCCCAGGUCCCAGCAGCAGCAGUUGUGCCCUGGGUGCCCCCAAUACAAGGCAGCAUGGAAAGUGACCAACAGUACCACUUCACAGUCAGACAGACCUUGGUUCAUAGCCUGGCUUUUGUUCCCCCAAACCCUAGCUGUGCGAUUGUCAUCAAAGUAUUCUACCUAAACUCUGCAUCUCAUUAUCUGUAAAAUGAAAGUAAUACCUACCACACAUGAUUACUGUAAGGAUUAAGUGAUAUCAUUUAUGUUAAGCAGUUACCACAGUUCCUGGCACCUAAAAGUUCACAAGAAAAGACAACUCCCCAGAAGCAGACAAGACCCGGAUCAUCCCUCAAGAAUAUUAGACUUAUGGAAUGAAUCUUGAUUCUUCCUGCUAGAAUCUCUAUGUUUUCAUCUCAAAGAACUUUGGGAAACUCACAGCUAAGCUAGGGUCCUUUACCUUCCUCCGUGUGUGUGUGUGUGUGUGUGUGUGUGUGUGUGUGUGUGUGUAAGAGAGAAACGGAGGCAGAGAAAGAAACAAAGGGACAGGGAGAGACAGAGUGCUGUGUACCAGUGUGACACAGGAGAUUAUGAAACAAACAAACAAACAAACCUAUGUUGCUCUGCAAUGCCAUAAGAGCUAAUAUCAGUUAUUAACUUGUGUUCAUUAAAAGAAAAUCUAUUUCUCUGUCUUGACUUUGGAAUAAAUACUUGAUAAAACUAAGGCAAUUUUCUUAGCAACUUUUCUUAGAUCUUUUUAAAAAAAUGUGUGUAGAAGCAUUUUUAAAUCUCUCAGACAUGUUUUCAGAACAUUUUCCAAAUUAAAAAAAAAAAUCAGUUUUGUUCAGAUACUUUAGGUUCUGGAAAUAAGCUAUUUCCUGUCCACUUUGACACAAAAACAUUCCUUCUAGCUUUUUAAGAAUACAGUCCCUUGUUGAGAUGUUGGCUUCCUGGUUUAGGGAAUGAAUUCUAAUCAUUUCUAAAUUUUCAACCCCUAUUCUACACUGAAAAUUCAAGUAAAAUGACAAACGGUGAGGGAAUUUAUAACAUAAACUCCUGGAUGUAAAGUGAAAAACAGUGAGGUGUGUCCAUGAUUGUAAUAACAAUAAUAAUUAAAACCGAUUGAAGAUUUAUUCAGGACUGGGCACUGUUCCAAGAACUUUACAUUGUUAAUUCAGUUAAGUCUCACAACAAUUUUUCCAGGAAGACUCUAUUAUCCUUAACAUUUUACCACAUACUGAGGCACAUGAUGGUUAGUCAACACACAAGAUCAUGCAGUUAGAAAGUAUAUUCUACACUCUGAAUAUAUUGCCUUCUAUAAAUAAAAUUGUAUAUCUUAUUAUUCAUGGAAAGGGAAAGUGAGGCUUUUAGAGACCCAGAGAUUUGCCCAAGGUUGUAGCAAGUACAGGCAGAGAAAGGACUUGAACUUAGGAAAGUCUGAGUCCAAAGUUCUCCUGUUAUACCGCCCACCCAAUGUACACAUCAUUUUCUAGGGUAGGCUUGACCAAUCAAUGGUAACUCAGCUUCUGCCUCCAUUAUCCACUCCCCAGGAACACAGAUGGCCCUUUACUGAAUCACCCUGCUGGUUGGGAGUUUUCUUACAUAUUGGGCUGCUGUGCUGUGACUUAAUUCCAUGUUUCCCAACUUGUGGGGUGCCUUGGUACUAAGCUGCACUAUAUGAACCAUGUAUCUUUAGGAAAAUAGAGUUAAAAGGUGCCAUACAGUGGUGUCCCAAUCAUGAUCCUUGGAGCCCUUAGGUAAAAAUGUCCUGGCCACCUUGGCUGAUUGUACAGACAUGAACUCAUCUCGCUUCUAAGCACACAGGCAGCAUCUGAGCACAACCAAAGCCCUUGGUUCAAUUCCGUCUAGUUCCACAGGCAUUAUAUUAAUAGGCAAAAAAAGAAAGAAGAAAGAAAGAAAGAAAGAAAGAAAGAAAGAAAGAAAGAAAGAAAGAAAGAAAAGAAAAAGAAAUUUGUGACUGGACUUGGGUGUGGAAUUUAGAGACUCUUACUGGAAUUAGAAACAAUUCUAAUCACAUGAAUUCAAAUCAAAUACAAUUACAAAGAGAUUCUCAAAUUGGAAGAAAGUAAUAUAUUCACAAGUAUUUAUAUGUAUGUGUGUUUUGUAAUGAGCAUUUACUGGGUAGCUAUUUGCCAUAGGUUUUGGAGUGAGAUAGCCUUGCGCUCAGAUCCCAGCUCUGUCAUUUUUUGAGCUAGGUAAACUGGGUAGUUAAUAACCUCUCUAAGACUUGGCUUCCUCAUCUCUAAACAGGAAUAAUAAUAUAUAUUAUGGGUAAUAAUGGGAUCACUGUGAUGAUUAAGUGACAUAAUGUGUAUGUAAAGUAUAAAGUCUGUAGCAAACAUACUUUGGCACUCAGUCCAUGGUGGUUAUUACAGUAGCUACUUAUUCACUUACUUAAAAAGUAAAAUUUAUUGAGUUCUUACAUAGUAGAACCAUACAUCCAAGCUUCAUGCCCUAGGCGCUGCAGGUACAGUGCUAAAAAGAUGGAGACGGCCCCUGACUUUCCAGAGCUUGUAGUCUAGCUGAGAAAAGAAUCACUAAACAAAUAAUAAAAAAAUGGAGAAUGGGUUAUAUAAGAGAGGAAGCAUAGGAAAGUAUGGAGUGUAUAACUUUGAGCGUUCGGGAAGGAGCCCCUGAAGCAAAUUAUGAGCCCUAGGGUAAGAGUCAACAACAGGCAGAUGGGGGGUGCAUGUGGGUGGGUGGACAGCAUGUCCCAGGCAAGGGAACAGCGCACACAAAGUCAAGAAGUAAGAGAUCAGAAAUAUGGUAGGAAGGAAAGAUCCCUGAGGUGCCAGAGAGAUUGACAGAAGGGUUGGGCUCAGAGUGGGACCAAAUUGUGAAGGACCUUGUGUAAGCCAUGUUAAAAAGUCUGUCUGGGUUUUGUCUGAAAGUCCUAUAAAGCCAUUGAAAAGCUUUUAUUGGGUGGGGGUUGGCUUCAGGGUAAGAGAAAGGAGCAAGUCUUGACCAUGGAGACAUUUAUCAUCUCAAGGUAAGAGGGGCUGAAGGGGAGGAAAGGGGACACUAACAGAAAUGCACAGUUAAAGAAGGCCCAGGAAGAAAAAUACGGAUGCAAAGUUCUAGGUGAGAAUUUUUAAAACAGGUGGUGACCCCAUCUAACUGAGAUGGCAUUUGAGAUAGAUCUUAAAAAUGAGCACUUCGGGGACAAGAAGAGCCAAUGGUGGUGAGUGGCACUUGCCCCGCUGGACACUGGGUCUAAGAGGUAAAAUUAGCAGGCAUACUCUAAAAGCGCUCCUGGCUUAUGUUAACCGGCUCUACAUUUCGCUUCCUUCCACUUCUUCGUAUGGCUUGGAGAGAAAACUCUGCCACCCUUACGGCAGCCCUGAAGCCCACGUCCUGUAAAUUUCAAAUCAUUUCCAUGUGUUCCCCCCUCCUCCAUUCUUCCAAGGUUAGUUCCAGCUGGAGGUCUGUGUAAGCUUCUAGCUUUGCAGAACACUUCCUCUACACCCCCUCCAGCUGUGAACUUUUUACCUGUGCUUCACUACAGUGUCUACAUGCUUAGUGAGAAGUUAAACCAGUACAGGAAAUACUACAUCAUCCCACUGGCAUUACCAGUUAAAUCGCCGAGUGCCUGGGCCUUAUGAGGUUGAGCCAUUUAUUAUAAAUGCCACAUCACAGUUGCAGCAACUUUUUGUGUCCUGUGAGCCAUUCUCUGGUCACACAAACCAAAGCAAAAAAGCACCCUGUUCCAACCCUCCCAAACCUUACUUUCUGUUAUCGUAAUUGAUUAAAUAUAUGAAAAGAAUAUCAAAGCUGUAGGAUUUUUUUUUUAAUUUGAUUACUUACACAGCCAUUUUUCUUUUAAAUAAAUGUCUUUCCUUUAAAUAAUGCCCAAAGUGGAGCUUUUCUUGCAAGUGUGAUGGUCUCCUGUCUUGUUUUGAGACUCCCAUUCGGUGAUGUGCCUGGUCUACACAGAGCUUUCGUGUUAAUCAUCUGAUUCACGGUACUUGGAACACGGUGGGUUUUCAGUAAAUGUGUCUCACGCUGCUUUGAAGAGCCCUCUGUUCCCAGAGGUUAAAUACUGGUCAGGUCACUUUGGAUUUGUUGUUUUCAGUUAGAGUUACUGUUACUAUGGGCAGUCAAUCAGAAAGUGUUCCUUGUAUGCAGUCAUGAAAUUGUUAGUACUCCGAGCAACAAGAACACCAUAUGACGUGAGAAGCAAAGGCUUUUUUGCUCAUUGAGAGGAAAGUGGGGUUUUCUUCAUUUUAUUUCAUUUAUAUUUGGGAGGAGUCUAUAUUAAGUAGGAUUAAUUUGAGAUACUUUGUCCUAACGCAGAGAAAAAUUAAGAAAUGGGCGGAGGAAGCAAGAGCAGGAGGGAAGAAGGAAAAAGAAAGAAAGGAAGGAAAGAGGGGAAGUUUUGUUUGAAGUGGAUAUUAUUUACCUGAAAAUAUUUCCUUUGAAAUUCUGAAUUACAGAUUUUUCUCCCUUUCAUCUAGAAAGAAAGUGACUUGUUUUGUAGGAUUUGUGGGUCCUUCACUCUUUACUCACGUAUGACAUCCAGAUGGUGGUGGACACUGUAUUCCAGGAAAACAAAGUAGUUCCAGUUUUCUCUACUUGAACAACUGAUGCGCCUACUAGGAAACUGUAUUCAUCUUUUCAAACUUGCUUUCCCCCUUUAUGCUUCCUCUUCUCGUGACAUUGCUCAGAAAAGAAGACCCGCACUGCACGGCUUUCCUGCCUCCGGGUCAUUUAAAACAGCACUGUCGCCCAUCAGAUAUGCACUCUGUCAUGUGAACUUUUGUCCUGCACCUAACUGUUGAAACCACUCCGUCUCUUCAUCCAGAAAAAACAGGAGAGAACAGUCCAAGCGGACAGUUUCUUGUCAUCAAAAGAAUAGCUGUCAAUCUCCUGAAAACAAAUCCAGAGGAGUUCUAAAUGAAUCCCUGAUGUGAGCAUUUUCUUGGUAAUUUGACAACCUAGCAGAUUUCCUUAAGGAGAAAUUAUAGAGCAAAUGAGCAUUAUUCCGGAAUCGCCAGACACACGGGCCUGUUCUUUCCCCUCCCACAUUUUUAUUUAAAUUCCAGCCAGUUAACAUAUUGGCCUCAGGUGUAGAAUUUAGUGAUUCAUUGCUUACAUACAACAACCCGUGCUCAUCACAACACAUGCCCUUCCUGAUCCCGAUCACCUAUUAAACCCAUCCCCCCCCCACCUCCCCUCCAGUAACCCUCAGUUUGUUUUCAAGGAUCUGUUGUAUGGUUUGCCUUUUGUCCCCCUAUGUUCGUUUGUUUUGUUUCUUGAAUUCCACAUAUGAGUAAAAUCAUAUGGUAUUUGUCUUUCUCUGACUGACUUAUUUCACUUAGCGUGAUACUCUCUAGAUCCAUUCACAUUGUUACAAAUGGCAAGAUUUCCUUCUUUUUAUGGCUGAGUAGUAUUCCUCUGUGUGUGUGUGUGUGUGUGUGUGUGUGUGUGUGUGUACCACAUAUCACGUCUUCUUUAUCCAUCGGUCAGUCAAUGGGCAUUUAGGCUCUUUCCAUAAUUUGGCUGUUUUAUUUGUCAAUAAUGCUGUUAUAAACAUCAGGGGGCAUGUAUUCCUUCGAAUCUGUAUUUUUAUAUCCUUUGAGUAAAUACCUUUGAGAAGUGUAAUUGCUGGAUCAUAAGGUACUUCUAUUUUUAAACUUUUUGAGGAACCUCCAUACUUGUUUCCAGAGUGGCUGCACCAGUUCGCAUUCCCACCAACAGUGCAAGAGGGUUCCCCUUUCUCCACAUCUUGCCAACACCUCUUAUUUCCUGUAUUGUUAAUUUUAGCCAUCCUGACCAGUGUGAGGUGAUAGCUCAUUAUAGAUUUUUUUUUUUUUUUCGAGGGCCGGGGGGAGCAGAAGUAGAGAGAGAGAGAGAGAAUCAUAAAGAAGGCUUUAUGCCCAGCUCAGAGUCCAACUCAGUGCUGGAUUUCACGACUAUUAGAUCUGAGCCGAAAUCAAGAGUCAGAUGUUUAACUGACUGAACCACCCAGGUGCCCCAUCAUUAUAGUUUUGAUUUGUAUUUCCCUGAUGGUGAGUGACGUUGAGCAUCUUUACAUAUGUCUGUAGCCAUCUGGAUAUCUUCUUUGGGAAAAUGUCUAUUCAUGUCUUCUGCACAAGUGGAUUAUUUGUUUUUUGGGUGUUCAGUUUUGUAAGUUCUUUAUAUGUUUUGGAUACUCACCCUAUGUCAGAUAUGUCAUUUGCAAAUACCUUCUCCCAUUCCAUAGGCUGCCUUUUAGUUUUGUUGAUUAUUUCCUUUGCUGUGCAAGAGCUUUUUGUUUUGAUGAAGUCCCAAUAGUUCAUUUUUGCUUUUGUUUUCCUUGCCUCAGGAGACAUGUCUAGCAAGAAGUUGCUGUUUCCGAUGUCAAAGAGGUUACUGCUUAUGUUCCCCUCCAGGAUUUUGAUGUUUCGUUUGUCACAUUUAGGUUUUGAAUCUUUGAAUUGAUUUUUGUGUUUGGUAUGAGAAAGUGGUCCAGUUUCCUUCCUUUGCAUGCUGGGGUCCAGUUUUCCCAAUACCACCACAGGUGCCUCUUCUUUUCAGUUUCUUUCAUCUAUGCAUCUCUAUAUAUUUCAGAUGCAGAUUAACUUGAGAAUCAAAAGAGCUGACCUCAGGUCCAGCAUCCCAUGAGACCCAGAAAUCACCCUAGCUCUUGGGUUCUAAGUUUACUCCACCAUGAGGCCAAAGAAUGUGACUUGAGACUGGCCUCAUGACAAAAAGGUUAUGAUAGUCACGAAACAGAUUCAGGUUACACAUUCUCUGGGUUACUGCUUUGUCAGUUUUGCUAGUAAUAACUCUCUUAGAUCCCAACCACAGGACUACCAUCAGUAGAGUAAAACUUAGCAGUGAUCGUGAAAGAGGUAAUUUUAUUGCCAAAGAACUCUAAUUUUCUCCCUGGGAGUAGUAACCUUGAGUAUGACACUUCAUUCAUAAAAAAGAGGGCCUCACCUUUAACAAAUUGCAGUGCAUUUAUACUCUUGAAAGAAGUGCAAUACCGUGUAAUUUCCACUUAAAUUCCCAUUUUCCUCUCAUCAGUUCUUUUCAUUUAGACCCAGGGCCUCGGUGUAUGCAUUGAUGUUCUCACUGAAAUGUGUUAAAGUGGUUAUUUGGGUAAUGUUGCGCUGUGGAAUAAUAUAAAUAUCAGCAUUUUCUAAAUAGAAAAAGUCAGGAUGUAUGGUCUGAAAAAAAUCAGAAUCACAGAGACACAAAGACAAAAUCUGUAAUUUUUUUAAUGGUUAUUUCUGAUGUGUGGGUGUGGAGGCAGAGAGAGAUAGAGACUCAGAAUCCAAAGCAGGCUCCAGGCUCUGAGCUGUCAGCACAGAGCACAGUGUGGGGCUUGGACCCACAAACCGCAAGAUCAUGACUUGAGCCAAAGUCAAGAUGCUUAACUGAGUGAGCCAUCCAGGUGUCCCGUCAAGGACAAAAUUUGUAAUUGAAGAAAGACAUACUACAUAACACAAGAACAGGUUUCAAGUAGAUUGAAUUCUAUUGGGGAUAUUGGAGACAUCGUCGUCAGUUCAUUGUGCCGUAAAGUGUACUAUCUUUCUCCAAAACUUUCAACUCCAUGUUUUGUCUACUUAUAAUUGGGCCCAAAAAGUUCAUCAUACAUUCUUCUAGCCAUUGCAUUUAUAAACUUGGCCAUUAGUAUGGUGGAGUCAUUUUACACAAUUCUUUUAACCUUCAAUUCAGAAAGUUCCUGCCUCACUUCACCACUUCAGCCCAUGGCUGCAGCCACAGUUAAUACGCCACACACAAAGCUCUUUCAUCCACAUGCUGCUCCCUCUCCCGGAAGUACCUUUCUUCUUCCCUCCUGGCUUUAGCCAGUUGCCUAGUCCCAGCUCAUUGAUCAUCUCCAUCAGCAGAGUUCAGUGUUAGGUUCCCACAGCACCUUUCAGCAUAUUUCUAGUUUAGCACUUCCCACAUUGAUCUGGUUGUUUCCUUAGAAUCUUGCUUCUCCCAUGGAAAUGUCAGAAGCUCAAGGACAAGGACCACUUUCUGUCCAUCUUAAAGUCCUCACUGAUCAGGAGAAUGCCUGCCCCUUGGUCAGUGCCCAGAAAAUGUUUUUGGAAUACACCAAAGAGGGUAGUCUUAUCCACUUGUAUGUUUAUUGCAUAAUGUGGGCUUCUUUGUGCUUUCCUUAACCUUAUAAUUCACCAUAAAACAUACAGAGAACACACAAGUAGGAGAUUAGAAAAUCUGAAUCAGUGCCCGUAGAGGAACAAGCAAUGAGCUAAAACCCAGAUUGAAUUUUUUUUAAUGUUGCUUUCUGCUACAAGAGGACCCCUCCUCUUGUAACCCAGUGGUAUUAUCAGAAAGAAAUUUAAAGUGAUUCAAGAAACUCCAUCAACUCUCUUAGUCAUGGUUUUACAGAGUCACCACCUUGGGCACGUGAAUGUCUGUGACAGAGAGAGUCAGGUCAAGAGGCCUAAUUCCUCCCACUUUAUCCAGCUUACCUUAGGUUAAUUACCCAAAAUCUCUGUGGCUCAGUUUCCUUCGAUGAGGUAGUUAAGUCUACUUCACAGAGUUGUAGGGAAUACCUGGAUUCCUCUUAUGUAAAGGACUUGACCCAGGACUUGUCAGCAGGUCACACUGUAAGUAGAAUCUGGCACAUUUGGACUCUAAAUCCGUGGAGCAGGGGAUACCCUAGCAGGCCGGUGGACAGGAUUCUGACAGCUCUCGCCACAGCAAUAGAGAAAAUCGGGUACUACUUAAACCAAGUACCUCAAAGGGGAGUCUUACCCUUGCCAAAACUGCUCAGGCUUCUAUGGUCCCAUGAUGGCUUUCUGCUCUGGGGAUAAAGUGAAAGUUUCUGUCUGAGGCUGACUGCAGUAUUGGCCAGCUUGCCAGAGGCAUGGCAUCCCCAGCCCUCUCUCCAUCAUCCUAAGCUUAGAAGUAAUCAGAAAAGCAUAAGUAUGUAAUUUUGGUCCACAGAUUCACCCAAUAAAGGCAUGUAUACUACACAUCAGACCCUUAUUUGAAGCCUUACUGACUCUGACGCACAUUUAAGAUAUAAUUUUUAAUAAAUUUCCUGAAAUGACUCUUGGCCCUGCAAAUUGAAAGAGAUUAUGAAAUCACUGCUAAAAGUAAGGGUAACUUGCAGUGAAAAGUGUUAACUGCCUGGUAUUAUGAGACCUGGAAAAUUAGACACAGAACAGGAUCACUGUCCAGUAGGAUAAUGGAUGUUCCUAAGAGAUCACUCUGAGUCAUGUAAAACAAAUAAAAUAACAUAAAAACCUUAAGUCAUGUUCAAUACGUAUGAAAUAUACUUUAAGAAAGAUUUCUGUUCAAAAGUUUUUUUUUCAGUGGUCUGCAGAGUUUGCUUAUGUGGAACACCUUGUUCUCUGCCAAAGCCAAAUAUAAAUGAAGUAUCUCUGUAUUUAGAGAAGAGGAAAGUGGAACGUUUGUUGUAAUAAUGUUUAUCUUUUUUGUUUUGAUACUUGUUAUGAACUAUAAAGCUGGCUCUUGCCCCCCCCACCCCACCCCACCCCAAAAGAUUAUUGAAAAGCAAACUCAACUGUAUACUGCCAGCUUCUUGAGGAUCAGGGACAUUUUAUUUUGUUUACCAAGUCCAGAUCAGGCUCUGGCACUCGGAGGUUAUUUGUUUUUGAAUGGGGAGAUGGAUAGAUGCUGGGGAGCAUGACAAUCAUGGAUGUGUAACUGAUGCCAGUGUGUAAGUUAAAAAAAAAAAAUCCAAGUCUAGUCUCACUUCUGCUGCUGUCCAUCUGGGUGAUUUGGGGCAAACCUUUUACAUCUCUGGGCUUCAUUUCCCUCAUCUGUAAAAUGAGGAAGUUGGACUAGAUCAUUUUAUAAAGUCCCUCCCGAUUCCCAACAGCCUAUGCUUUUAUAGAGAAAAAAGAUCAGUUCUUUUAUGCAUGUGACACAUAAUUGAAAGUCGCAACUAAAGUGAUGUAGAUCAAUACAGCAAGCAGCAAAUUUCAUUUCAAGGACAUUGGUAUUCUUGGAAUACAGUUAGCAUCCUUUUGGCUUUGUCUAAAGCACAUACUAUGCGGUCAAAAUGGCUUGUCCACAUUUUUUUUUUUUUUUUUUUUUUUUGAAUGAAAGGAUUUGUGCCUCCCACAUGUAGGGCUUGGCGUAUUGUAAAUGGUAGCCUACACAUAGGCAAAUGAGAACUGGGAAGAUAAUUAAAUCUGAGGUGGAAAUAGAGCAGACUUGUGAAUGAACAAAGGAAGUGUGUUUCUCUGGAAGCCAAGAUGUCAAAGAUACAUUUUAUUAGUACUGCACACUUUCAGCUUUCAUGUAAAUCAGUAUUCAGCUGCUUCAAAUGUUCUAACUCUGCAUUUCUGAAGAAUCCAUUGUGUAUAUUAACUGUGGGGAUGUCAGGCAUUUUUAAAUUCCAAACUUGGGGAGAGAUUCACUGACAUGCGUGACACUGUACCUGAAGAAUCAAAUGGUCAGAAUGCACUUUAUUUUUGAGCUAAAAGUGAAAACAAACAGAUUCAUUUCUAAGACUUCUGGGCCUCUUGCUCCUUUUUUUCUUUCUUUCUCACAAAACAGACAUGGAAUGAAAAUGCAACUAAAGGCUUCUCAAAUGCUUCCUGACCACAUACCUUUCCAGUGGCUCAGUUUUGGCAAAGUAGCUCCAGACCCUACCACUGUCCAAGCUCCCACCAUCCUUCCUUAUGACUCACACUGACACUUGAGUGCUAAGAGGCCGUUCUGUGGCUGCAGGGAUGCCCAGUUAAAACAAACAUAGCUGAAAGCGAACCCGAAAGUCGUUUGGUUCAAUCCCCUUAUAUCAUAGAUGGAAACGGAGGUCCAGGGAGGUGACAUUACUCACACAAGGUAACACAUAAGUCUCUUGAUUUCUAACCCAUUGCUCUUUUCACAGGUACGUUAGUCCCUGACAAAUAAUAACCCCCCCCCCACCAAAAAAAUGGUGAGAGGAACCAGACCCUUUAAAAAAACAACAGGAUUAUAACAUUAUUACUUUUUUUCACAUGGUCUAUCUUUCACCUUUUUACAUUGUUGCUUUUGUCUUGUCAGUUUCUUGUAGAAACAUGACUUACUGCUUGGAAAUUCAACUUGGCAUUUUCUUUAGACAAAGUGAUCUUUUAAACGUAGCCAACAUUUCUUUUGGAGUAUGACUCCAUUUCACAUAACACGUCUUAAGAUUGAUGUUUACUAAGUUGGUUGUUUAAAUCAUGUUCGGAGCUUGGUUACAUGGGCCGUUUCUUUGUCUCUGUGUCUCCCUCUCUCUCCUUUUUCUUUGUGCUUGACACAAAAGGAUGGGGCCCCGAGGAUCAUCUGGAAAUGGAUCAGUGUAUUCAUGUGUGAGCUUUACAAAGCACUGAGGCAAAGGUGUCAUUAAAUGUUAGAAGUCAUUCAAUCAUGCCCAUCUCUUCAUAUGAAGUAAAGAGGGAAAAGGCUCUGUAUGGUAACUAUCCACAAAGCUUUGUGUAUUCAGUCACCUCCUACUUCUCCGAGGAGCUGACUCCCAUUUUUGCUUCUCUCACCCUUAGAGGAGGUUUGAGAUUAGCAUUGUUUUUAUGAAUCUGAUCUUAAUACUCGGCUCUUGUUUCAUGCUGAAAGUAACUCAAGUGAUAGAUUUUUAGAGAGCUGCUGAGUUUAAUCCUGAUUAUGUUUCCUUUCAAAUGACCGAGGUUUUCCUGUGUAUCCAUGAUCCUGCCAGGGACUUGGCAAGAGAAAAGAAUGACUCUUACCCCAAAAAAGAGAAUUAACUGUCUACCCUUAAGUAUGUUUCUAGCAGCCUAUUUUAGGUAUUAAAUGUAAAAGUCAAUUAAGGGAGGUUUCAAUGUAUCGGUAUCCUGUUUGUCCUGAAAUAUAAAUAGAAGUUUGAGAGUUUUGAAGCAGAUGCCAUCUGCUGGAUAGUUAAGAAACUGUAAUUUAAAAAAAAAAAAAAAAAAAAAGAUAUGAAUAGAAAACCUAUGGAACAGUUUACCUUAAAGAAUAGAUUGCUAAUUUAAGGAAAUGCUAAUUCCCAGGCCCCAAGUAAAGCGCCAUCUCUCCAACUUGCUGUCUACAGUCUAAAUGUUUACUUUGUUUUUCUAAUCUGAAUAAAGAUAUUCCUUCCUGUUCGUGUGCAA